CCCUUAGAUGUUCUGGGCCGCACGCGUGCUACACUGAUGCAUUCAACGAGUCUAAAGCCUGGUCUGAUAGGGCUGGGUAAUCUUUUGAAAGUGCAUCGUGAUUGGGAUAGAUGAUUGCAAUUCUUCAUCUUCAACGAGGAAUGCCUAGUAAACGCAAGUCAUCAGCUUGCAUCGAUUACGUCCCUGCCCUUUGUACACACCGCCCGUCGCUCCUACCGAUUGAAUGAUCCGAUGAAUACCAUGGAUUGAGAGUACGAAUAGGUUCGCUUAUUUCUGCUGCUCGAGAAGUGGAGUAAAUCUUAUCAUUUAGAGGAAGGAGAAGUCGUAACA
RNAcentral lists this ribosomal RNA (330 nucleotides) under uncultured eukaryote. RNAcentral's name for it is "partial 18S ribosomal RNA". It matches the Rfam family "Eukaryotic small subunit ribosomal RNA", at positions 1470 to 1796 of the family's 1831-position model. The record is from RNAcentral.